RNAcentral lists this ribosomal RNA (643 nucleotides) under Aureobasidium sp. RBF-3B2. Its description in RNAcentral is "eukaryotic LSU rRNA". It matches the Rfam family "Eukaryotic large subunit ribosomal RNA", at positions 9 to 667 of the family's 3401-position model. Lineage: Eukaryota; Fungi; Ascomycota; Dothideomycetes; Dothideales; Saccotheciaceae. The record is from RNAcentral.
GAUCAGGUAGGGAUACCCGCUGAACUUAAGCAUAUCAAUAAGCGGAGGAAAAGAAACCAACAGGGAUUGCCCUAGUAACGGCGAGUGAAGCGGCAACAGCUCAAAUUUGAAAGCUGGCCUUCGGGUCCGCAUUGUAAUUUGUAGAGGAUGCUUUGGGUGAAACGCCAGUCUAAGUUCCUUGGAACAGGACGUCAUAGAGGGUGAGAAUCCCGUAUGUGACUGGAAAUGUUAACCUAUGUAAAGCUCCUUCGACGAGUCGAGUUGUUUGGGAAUGCAGCUCUAAAUGGGAGGUAAAUUUCUUCUAAAGCUAAAUAUUGGCGAGAGACCGAUAGCGCACAAGUAGAGUGAUCGAAAGAUGAAAAGCACUUUGGAAAGAGAGUUAAAAAGCACGUGAAAUUGUUGAAAGGGAAGCGCUUGCAAUCAGACUUGUUUAAACUGUUCGGCCGGUCUUCUGACCGGUUUACUCAGUUUGGACAGGCCAGCAUCAGUUUCGGCGGCCGGAUAAAGGCUCUGGGAAUGUGGCCUUCACUUCGGUGAAGGUGUUAUAGCCCAGGGUGUAAUACGGCCAGCCGGGACUGAGGUCCGCGCUUCGGCUAGGAUGCUGGCGUAAUGGUUGUAAGCGACCCGUCUUGAAACACGGACC